CAGGGAGACAAACAACGAUUUUGAUGCCUGAGUACUUUUAUUCUUAGGCCGAAAUCCUGUCACCUUAGGUCGAUCGGUACCUCAACUUCAAUCCUGUGAGUCGCAAGACUGCACAACGAUUGAUUUUUAGUUCCUAAACGUUGUCUAGGUCACCCCAUAGAGGGUUCACUUCCUGGGCCAUUAGCUCAGGUGGUUAGAGCGCACCCCUGAUAAGGGUGAGGUCCCUGGUUCAAGUCCAGGAUGGCCCAUGCCAAAAUCCAGUUUUGGAUCAUUUGGGGGUUUAGCUCAGUUGGUAGAGCGCCUGCUUUGCAAGCAGGAUGUCAGCGGUUCGAGUCCGCUAACCUCCACUAACACAUCUGAACUCCUAAGCCAGGAAGAGCUUCUGGGUUGGUGACUAGACGUUGUUCGCAGAGAAUCCACUGGUUGACCCAGAUGUAUUCAGCCUCAGCUCAUUGUUGAUUCAUGAUUGAGCUGAUGCUGAAUUCACUCUCGCAAGAGAGAGGAUUUAGCAGAACCUUGACAACUGCAUAGGUGAGUCUGGAAAGACAAAAGCAUCUCAUAGAGGCUAGUGCGAAAGCACUAGUGAUUCUAUUUUUGAGAGCCGAGACCUUCUAGCGUUCUUCCCAAUCCGCCGAGGAGAGGGGAGUUUGAUCCUUUUUUCUAACUGAUCGAGAAGCAGAGUAAUCUGAUUCUUGGUUAAGAGAAAACUGAGAGAAUGGGCCUCAACAGCCUGAAGCGUUAGGAGGAUUAAUU
RNAcentral lists this transfer RNA (753 nucleotides) under uncultured cyanobacterium. RNAcentral's name for it is "partial contains 16S ribosomal RNA, 16S-23S ribosomal RNA intergenic spacer, and 23S ribosomal RNA". The stretch from base 275 to 347 matches the Rfam family "tRNA". Lineage: Bacteria; Bacillati; Cyanobacteriota. The record is from RNAcentral.